GCCGGGCAUGGUGGCGGGCGCCUGUAAUCCCAGCUGCUUGGGAGGCUGAGGCAGGAGAAUUGCUUGAACCCAGGAGGCAGAGGUUGCAGUGAGUGGAGAUUGUGCCACUGUACUCCAGCCUGGGUGACAGAGCAAGACUCUGUCUCAA
Molecule: non-coding RNA, 148 nt
Filed under: Nomascus leucogenys (northern white-cheeked gibbon)
Lineage: Eukaryota; Metazoa; Chordata; Mammalia; Primates; Hylobatidae
Source: Rfam by way of RNAcentral